AUUGAACGCUGGCGGCAGGCCUAACACAUGCAAGUCGAACGGUAACAGGAAGCAGCUUGCUGCUUUGCUGACGAGUGGCGGACGGGUGAGUAAUGUCUGGGAAACUGCCCGAUGGAGGGGGAUAACUACUGGAAACGGUAGCUAAUACCGCAUAACGUCGCAAGACCAAAGAGGGGGACCUUAGGGCCUCUUGCCAUCGGAUGUGCCCAGAUGGGAUUAGCUAGUAGGUGGGGUAACGGCUCACCUAGGCGACGAUCCCUAGCUGGUCUGAGAGGAUGACCAGCCACACUGGAACUGAGACACUGUCCAGACUCCUACGGGAGGCAGCAGUGGGGAAUAUUGCACAAUGGGCGCAAGCCUGAUGCAGCCAUGCCGCGUGUAUGAAGAAGGCCUUCGGGUUGUAAAGUACUUUCAGCGGGGAGGAAGGGAGUAAAGUUAAUACCUUUGCUCAUUGACGUUACCCGCAGAAGAAGCACCGGCUAACUCCGUG
Molecule: ribosomal RNA, 490 nt
Filed under: uncultured bacterium
Lineage: Bacteria
Description: partial 16S ribosomal RNA
Rfam family: Bacterial small subunit ribosomal RNA
Source: RNAcentral